UACAGAGGGUGCAAGCGUUGUUCGGAAUUAUUGGGCGUAAAGCGCGUGUAGGCGACUUUGCAAGUCGGGUGUGAAAGCCCUCGGCUCAACCGAGGAAGUGCGCCCGAAACUGCAGAGCUUGAGUACCGGAGAGGAUGGCGGAAUUCCCCAAGUAGAGGUGAAAUUCGUAGAUAUGGGGAGGAACACCGGUGGCGAAGGCGGCCAUCUGGACGGAUACUGACGCUGAGACGCGAAAGCGUGGGUAGCAAACAGG
This 253-nucleotide ribosomal RNA is filed under the name uncultured bacterium. RNAcentral describes it as "partial 16S ribosomal RNA". It matches the Rfam family "Bacterial small subunit ribosomal RNA", at positions 524 to 776 of the family's 1533-position model. The record is from RNAcentral.